Molecule: non-coding RNA, 156 nt
Organism: Populus trichocarpa (black cottonwood)
Lineage: Eukaryota; Viridiplantae; Streptophyta; Magnoliopsida; Malpighiales; Salicaceae
Source: Rfam
UCUAGAACUCGAGAUAUGGGCUGAACACUGAACAGUGUCUGGGCUGCAGGACAGAUUCGGUCUUCUUCUUUGUUGCUACAAUUUGGACUUGAAAACGGCCUUGAUAAAUCUUGGACUCCCCAUGAAAGUUGUAGGCCUAUGUCUUAGCUUUCCAUC